RNAcentral lists this non-coding RNA (253 nucleotides) under Leyella stercorea DSM 18206. Its description in RNAcentral is "Prevotella stercorea DSM 18206 partial 16S ribosomal RNA". It matches the Rfam family "Bacterial small subunit ribosomal RNA", at positions 524 to 776 of the family's 1533-position model. RNAcentral also lists the same sequence under 2 other names. Lineage: Bacteria; Pseudomonadati; Bacteroidota; Bacteroidia; Bacteroidales; Prevotellaceae. The record is from RNAcentral.
UACGGAAGGUCCGGGCGUUAUCCGGAUUUAUUGGGUUUAAAGGGAGCGUAGGCCGUCUGUUAAGCGUGUUGUGAAAUGUCGGGGCUCAACCUGGGCAUUGCAGCGCGAACUGGCAGACUUGAGUGCGCAGGAAGUAGGCGGAAUUCGUCGUGUAGCGGUGAAAUGCUUAGAUAUGACGAAGAACUCCGAUUGCGAAGGCAGCCUGCUGUAGCGUAACUGACGCUGAAGCUCGAAAGCGUGGGUAUCGAACAGG